RNAcentral lists this ribosomal RNA (184 nucleotides) under uncultured bacterium. RNAcentral's name for it is "partial 16S ribosomal RNA". It matches the Rfam family "Bacterial small subunit ribosomal RNA", at positions 1316 to 1500 of the family's 1533-position model. The record is from RNAcentral.
CUGCAUGAAGUCGGAAUUGCUAGUAAUCGCGGAUCAGCAUGCCGCGGUGAAUACGUUCCCGGGCCUUGUACACACCGCCCGUCACACCAUGGGAGCCGGUAAUACCCGAAGUCAGUAGUCCAACCACGUGAGGACGCUGCCGAAGGUAGGAUUGGCGACUGGGGUGAAGUCGUAACAAGGUAUC